RNAcentral lists this ribosomal RNA (305 nucleotides) under uncultured bacterium. Its description in RNAcentral is "bacterial SSU rRNA". It matches the Rfam family "Bacterial small subunit ribosomal RNA", at positions 337 to 639 of the family's 1533-position model. The record is from RNAcentral.
GCCUACGGGAGGCAGCAGUGAGGAAUAUUGGUCAAUGGCCGGAAGGCUGAACCAGCCAAGCCGCGUGAGGGACGAAGGUGCCAAGCAUUGUAAACUUCUUUUGUCAAGGGACAAAAUCAGGCUCGAGAGCCUGACCGAGGGUACUUGAAGAAAAAGCAUCGGCUAACUACGUGCCAGCAGCCGAUGUAAUACGGAGGAUGCGAGCGUUAUCCGGAUUUAUUGGGUUUAAAGGGUGCGUAGGCGGGCUGUUAAGUCAGCGGUAAAAGACAGGGGCUAAACGGGGGGGAGACGUAGAAACUGGGUGG